This 253-nucleotide ribosomal RNA is filed under the name uncultured bacterium. RNAcentral's name for it is "partial 16S ribosomal RNA". It matches the Rfam family "Bacterial small subunit ribosomal RNA", at positions 524 to 776 of the family's 1533-position model. The record is from RNAcentral.
UACGUAGGGUGCGAGCGUUAAUCGGAAUUACUGGGCGUAAAGCGUGCGCAGGCGGUUUGUUAAGUCAGAUGUGAAAGCCCCGGGCUUAACCUGGGAACGGCAUUUGAAACUGGCAGGCUGGAGUGCGGCAGAGGGGGGUGGAAUUCCGCGUGUAGCAGUGAAAUGCGUAGAUAUGCGGAGGAACACCGAUGGCGAAGGCAAUCCCCUGGGCCUGCACUGACGCUCAUGCACGAAAGCGUGGGGAGCAAACAGG